This 1528-nucleotide ribosomal RNA is filed under the name Bifidobacterium pseudocatenulatum. RNAcentral describes it as "bacterial SSU rRNA". It matches the Rfam family "Bacterial small subunit ribosomal RNA". Lineage: Bacteria; Bacillati; Actinomycetota; Actinomycetes; Bifidobacteriales; Bifidobacteriaceae. The record is from RNAcentral.
UUUGUGGAGGGUUCGAUUCUGGCUCAGGAUGAACGCUGGCGGCGUGCUUAACACAUGCAAGUCGAACGGGAUCCAUCAGGCUUUGCUUGGUGGUGAGAGUGGCGAACGGGUGAGUAAUGCGUGACCGACCUGCCCCAUACACCGGAAUAGCUCCUGGAAACGGGUGGUAAUGCCGGAUGCUCCGACUCCUCGCAUGGGGUGUCGGGAAAGAUUUCAUCGGUAUGGGAUGGGGUCGCGUCCUAUCAGGUAGUCGGCGGGGUAACGGCCCACCGAGCCUACGACGGGUAGCCGGCCUGAGAGGGCGACCGGCCACAUUGGGACUGAGAUACGGCCCAGACUCCUACGGGAGGCAGCAGUGGGGAAUAUUGCACAAUGGGCGCAAGCCUGAUGCAGCGACGCCGCGUGCGGGAUGACGGCCUUCGGGUUGUAAACCGCUUUUGAUCGGGAGCAAGCCUUCGGGUGAGUGUACCUUUCGAAUAAGCACCGGCUAACUACGUGCCAGCAGCCGCGGUAAUACGUAGGGUGCAAGCGUUAUCCGGAAUUAUUGGGCGUAAAGGGCUCGUAGGCGGUUCGUCGCGUCCGGUGUGAAAGUCCAUCGCUUAACGGUGGAUCUGCGCCGGGUACGGGCGGGCUGGAGUGCGGUAGGGGAGACUGGAAUUCCCGGUGUAACGGUGGAAUGUGUAGAUAUCGGGAAGAACACCAAUGGCGAAGGCAGGUCUCUGGGCCGUUACUGACGCUGAGGAGCGAAAGCGUGGGGAGCGAACAGGAUUAGAUACCCUGGUAGUCCACGCCGUAAACGGUGGAUGCUGGAUGUGGGGCCCGUUCCACGGGUUCCGUGUCGGAGCUAACGCGUUAAGCAUCCCGCCUGGGGAGUACGGCCGCAAGGCUAAAACUCAAAGAAAUUGACGGGGGGCCGCACAAGCGGCGGAGCAUGCGGAUUAAUUCGAUGCAACGCGAAGAACCUUACCUGGGCUUGACAUGUUCCCGACAGCCGUAGAGAUAUGGCCUCCCUUCGGGGCGGGUUCACAGGUGGUGCAUGGUCGUCGUCAGCUCGUGUCGUGAGAUGUUGGGUUAAGUCCCGCAACGAGCGCAACCCUCGCCCUGUGUUGCCAGCACGUCAUGGUGGGAACUCACGGGGGACCGCCGGGGUCAACUCGGAGGAAGGUGGGGAUGACGUCAGAUCAUCAUGCCCCUUACGUCCAGGGCUUCACGCAUGCUACAAUGGCCGGUACAACGGGAUGCGACACGGCGACGUGGAGCGGAUCCCUGAAAACCGGUCUCAGUUCGGAUUGGAGUCUGCAACCCGACUCCAUGAAGGCGGAGUCGCUAGUAAUCGCGGAUCAGCAACGCCGCGGUGAAUGCGUUCCCGGGCCUUGUACACACCGCCCGUCAAGUCAUGAAAGUGGGUAGCACCCGAAGCCGGUGGCCUAACCCUUUGUGGAUGGAGCCGUCUAAGGUGAGACUCGUGAUUGGGACUAAGUCGUAACAAGGUAGCCGUACCGGAAGGUGCGGCUGGAUCACCUCCUUU